RNAcentral lists this ribosomal RNA (279 nucleotides) under uncultured bacterium. RNAcentral describes it as "partial 16S ribosomal RNA". It matches the Rfam family "Bacterial small subunit ribosomal RNA", at positions 506 to 784 of the family's 1533-position model. The record is from RNAcentral.
UGCCAGCCGCCGCGGUAAUACGGAGGGUGCGAGCGUUAAUCGGAAUUACUGGGCGUAAAGCGCACGCAGGCGGUUUGUUAAGCUAGAUGUGAAAGCCCCGGGCUCAACCUGGGAACUGCAUUUGAUACUGGCAAACUAGAGUAUGGGAGAGAGAAGUAGAAUUCCACAUGUAGCGGUGAAAUGCGUAGAGAUGUGGAGGAAUAUCAGUGGCGAAGGCGACUUCUUGGCCCAAUACUGACGCUCAGGUGCGAAAGCGUGGGGAGCAAACAGGAUUAGAUA